AUUGAACGCUGGCGGCAGGCUUAACACAUGCAAGUCGAGCGGGGUGAUGGUGCUUGCACUAUCACUUAGCGGCGGACGGGUGAGUAAUGCUUAGGAAUCUGCCUAUUAGUGGGGGACAACAUCUCGAAAGGGAUGCUAAUACCGCAUACAUCCUACGGGAGAAAGCAGGGGAUCACUUGUGACCUUGCGCUAAUAGAUGAGCCUAAGUCGGAUUAGCUAGUUGGUGGGGUAAAGGCCCACCAAGGCGACGAUCUGUAGCGGGUCUGAGAGGAUGAUCCGCCACACUGGGACUGGGACACGGCCCAGACUCCUACGGGAGGCAGCAGUGGGGAAUAUUGGACAAUGGGGGGAACCCUGAUCCAGCCAUGCCGCGUGUGUGAAGAAGGCCUUAUGGUUGUAAAGCACUUUAAGCGAGGAGGAGGCUCUUUUGGUUAAUACCCAAGAUGAGUGGACGUUACUCGCAGAAUAAGCACCGGCUAACUCUGUGCCAGCCGCCGCCGUAA
Molecule: ribosomal RNA, 503 nt
Filed under: uncultured bacterium
Lineage: Bacteria
Description: partial 16S ribosomal RNA
Rfam family: Bacterial small subunit ribosomal RNA
Source: RNAcentral